Long non-coding RNA from Arvicola amphibius (Eurasian water vole), 3437 nucleotides. RefSeq lists it as uncharacterized. Lineage: Eukaryota; Metazoa; Chordata; Mammalia; Rodentia; Cricetidae. The transcript is spliced from 2 exons. The record is from RefSeq and is a predicted model, not a curated record.
GAAAGGCCGCGCGGGAAGCGGAGGGGCAGGGACGGGCGCGGUGCCAGGGCUGAAUCCAGGUCACCACCGUGAGGGCAGAGAGCCGGCGCCGCUGCUGGGCAGAGCGGCUGCUACGGUUCUGCACCGAGCUCAGAGCCGAGCCGCACCUCCUGACAGUCGAGAGCGGCGGAAAGGGCCGCCGUUCUGGUCACCGGGUGCACGGACGCGGCGUUUAAAGGUCAAGGUCAAGGUGGGGUUUGGCGAGCGACGGGGAAGCGCGCUCGGGAGAAACCGGAGACACAUGCAAUAGCAAGGCUGGUGUUACUACGACCACCAUCGUCUUAGAGAAAGGAAAGAGCUCCUGCAGCACCGCAGGAUGGAGGCGGAGUGAGCGACAGGCUGGGGGGCCUCAGGCGGGGACCAGCGACGGAGGGGAGGAGGGGGGCACUCGGAGCCCGGCCCGCGGCCCCCGCCACACUCACUUGCCCUCCUGGCAGUCAUACAGCACGAUGGAGUCAUCGUCGCUGCUGGAGAUGACCGUCUCUCCAUUGGGACUGAAGUCGAAGCAGUUGAUCUUGUCCGAGUUCUCGCGGAACACCUUAGCGACGCGGAAGCUUCUCAGCACGCUGUCGGUCAGCUUCAUGGCGGCGGCGGUGGCUGCUGCUGCUGGAGGCAGCCGCGGCGGCGCAGGGCCGGGGCGGGGCCGAGAGGCGAGCGAGCGGGCGGGCUGCUCAGGGCCAACCCCAGCGGUGCGGACGCCGCGCUGGCGGCUAGCGGGAGGGCGGCUGACAGUCGGGCCGCCGCGUCGUCCUCCUCAGGGCACGCUCUCGCGUCGGGAUGACGGGACCUCGCUGACCGUUCUUCUCCGCAGUCACCUCAGGGCCAACCGGCGCUGUGCCGGCUCAUUGUGUUCGCCAUCUUGAAGGGAGAAGCAAAAAUCAGAGGGCGAGGAGCCUCGGCCGCGGCGAACGCCGGGAAAGGGGGCGGGCCGGGAACGGAGGCGCGAGCCGAGAAGGCGGGGAGAUGACGUCAGCGGGGCGGGCGCACAUUUCCGCGGCCCGGGAUCGCAGCUCGCGGAUGUGCAGUGGGAGGCCUGCGGGCGUGGAGCGGAAAAGCCUUUCCGGAGGGCGGGAAAGUUGAGGUCGCCUCGGGACUGGUUCCUUUGUGAGUGCUACCAGGGAGAGUCAGGUGUCCCUGGGGCGGCAGGUACUAGCGGAAACCUCCCCGCGUGGCCUGUUCGUGGGGUGACUCAGGGAACCCCAUGACUGAGGGCCUUGACCUCACCACCAACCCAGGAGGCCUCCAUUUGUUAUUUUAAUGAAGUACAACAUACACAAUUUAAAGUGGGUGACCUGUUACUUAUUUUCAAUUGGAUACAUGCUCAGAAUGUAUGUCAGAGCUUUCUUUAAAUCCUUCUUCAGAGUCAAAGCGCAUGAAGAUAGCUAACUUCAAGUGCAGAAGGAGGGGGAGCCUAAUGAAGGUUCACUCACCGGCAGCUAAUAGGAAGGUGUGAGUCCCAUAGAACCUGGACUGUGGUGAGCAAGAUGAAAACCACGACAUGGAAACACUAGCAAAAUUGGAGUCUUCUUGGAAAUAACUAGGAAUGGAAUCCCACGUCUUUCUGUAAAAACAAAACAAAACAAAGAACCCGAGGUGUCUACAUAGAGAAAUUGUUGGCUGAGAGAAAAAGACGAGACUGUAAGUCUGGACUGACGUUGGCACCUAACAAUGCAGAGCUCCUGGCUGCAGUUUGUUCUGGGGUUUGAGGAGGGGAAAAAAACCGGUUUGAGUGCAACCUGAAUGGAUGGCAACUUUCCAAAUUGCAAAUCGAUUCAAGAAAAAUCUUCCACAGACUGCUGCACUCAGUUCCCAGGGAUUGUUUCUGAAUCUAAAACCGAGGAUACAGUCUGCCGUGAACGCUUGAGGGCAAGGACAGAUCUGGUGCCCUGUUGUGGACCUGCUGGGUGAACUGAAGGACUUUAAAGACCAUCUCUAGUAAAGAUCCUGCAGACUGACUGACUAGUACAUCAGAAUCGUGGGAGAACAAACGUAGCCAAGAGCCAAAUGAUCGUGAUUUUAGGCCUAUUUAAAAAGUAUAGUGUGUGCAUGUGUGCAUGUGCUUUUUAGCUGCUGAGCCAACUAAGCCGGUCUUGCUUUUAGUAGCCAGCUUUACUUUAACUUUUUUUUUGAAGAUUUGUUUUACGUAUACAAGCGCUCAAUCUGCACGCACAACUUUCUGUGAGAAGAGGACAUCAGAUCCCACUCCAGAUGGCUGUGAGCCACCUGUAGGUGCUGGGAAUUGAACUCAGGUCCUCUGGAAGAGCAGCCAGUGCUCUUAGCCGCUGAGCCGGCUCUCCAGCCCCACUUUAACUUUUAACAUCAUCCACAACAUUUAGCUCCAUCAACGCUACAGCUAAGAUGUCUAUGGCGUCACACCUGAAAUCUGGGAUUCCCCACUUUGCAGUUUUGCUGUGGGGCCCAUCUACUUGAUAUUUCCACAAAUAAAACUGGCCAACAUGGUGAUUUUUUUUUAUUUUGGGGGUACUGUUCCGUGACUAAACCUUUAUGAGAUCUCUUCCAGGUAGAACCAGGCAAUUAGGACGAACUGACUCCUCCUUGUUCCUGGACGAGGCUGUUCUUUCCUAUCAGCAGUUGGGAAGCAAACCCACCGAGGAGAUGGCAUUUUGGACGAAGAGGGAAGGAUAAUUGCAAAUCACCGAGAAUCCGCUGCAGGAAUACAGAAAUCGGAGGGCUCCAUACACCUCUUUUCAGGUUUUCUGGUUGUCAGUAAGCCAUGAAAGUUCUAAGUCACGAUCCUGGUCUUUAGAGUGGCCCCAGAUCUGCCAUUUCCGGAUGAAUCUCCACCCACCCAGAGUACUUCCGGUCUCCAGCGCUGGACGCGACAGAAAGGUAAGUUUGCGUCUCAAGGAUAAACAUGGACCUUGGAAGUCAUUCCUGAUCCGGACGGAGGCGAAUCCAGGCGAUAGCAGCCCCUUAAUUUUUUUCGACACCUAACACUGUGCGGUAAUCAUUUCUCUCGCGAAGAUCACAAGCUACCAGCUCUGGUGACGUCACUUCCGGUAACCUGGCGGUUGGCCAAAUCAGGAAGUGAUGUCAAAUCCAGUUUGUUCCGGGAGGAGUUAAGGCUGAUCUUCCCAUUUCUUCAUUUAGCAAUUGGAGCUCUCCGGAGCUGGAAAGGUGUAGUGACUUAAAAAGAGUUGGGGAUUUGGCAAUUGAAAAGGCCAGUUAGAUUUCAAUUCACCACAACGUAAUUUUUAGUUACAAAUAAUCCCAAAUGUACCGAUUAUAUUUAUACUAAAAAUUCACCAAAUGCCCAGCGUUUUAUCUGGCAACUUUGAUCUUGAGCAUUCCUUUGUCCUGGAGUCUGAUAAGGAUCCUGUAGGCUUUUGCUCCCCUGUGAGAUAGACUAAGUUCACCUAGAGCUGAGCUAAGAUGUG